RNAcentral lists this non-coding RNA (27 nucleotides) under Mus musculus (house mouse). Lineage: Eukaryota; Metazoa; Chordata; Mammalia; Rodentia; Muridae. The record is from RNAcentral.
CACGUGCACACAAAACAGUUCUCCAGA